RNAcentral lists this transfer RNA (68 nucleotides) under Marmota monax (woodchuck). It matches the Rfam family "tRNA". From Rfam's summary of the family: Transfer RNA (tRNA) molecules are approximately 80 nucleotides in length. Their secondary structure includes four short double-helical elements and three loops (D, anti-codon, and T loops). Lineage: Eukaryota; Metazoa; Chordata; Mammalia; Rodentia; Sciuridae. The record is from Rfam by way of RNAcentral.
GUGGUGGCUUAGCGGCAGAGCACUCGCCUAGUAAGUGGGAGGCCCUGGGUUCGAUUCUCAGCACCACA